Molecule: long non-coding RNA, 1293 nt
Organism: Glycine soja
Lineage: Eukaryota; Viridiplantae; Streptophyta; Magnoliopsida; Fabales; Fabaceae
Exons: 2
Source: RefSeq, a predicted model, not a curated record
AAUUAAUAUUGGUAUAAUCCUAUCUACUAUCUAUAAUCGAAUCAUCGAUCGGAUCCAGCUAUAGCUCCUUCGUUCCGUCGACAAAAGGAAUGCAGACAGUGGACAAGGGAAGACGAAAGUACAGCAAUUUGUGUACCCUCGAAAGCACCCAACACAAACUACAUGACAAUUUCAUUUUCCUAUAUUUUAUCAACAACUUGUUAUCCAUUUUUUGGAAAUCAAUUCCGCCCCACAACACAACACAUCCGUUUUGUUUCAUAAACCUGCAUCAAAGGGUACGCCACUCCCAGGAAUCCACGAGCCCCCAGCCAAGAAACUUCCAACGGUGAAUUUCACAGCCUCAGUACUGGAGAUCACGCGAAACCCUUCCCAUUUCACCCUCCCUCCUGUGCCUGCACCUGCUCCUGUAUUCCCAUAUUCAGCGUAAUAGAGGGUGCUUAGAGCAAAGUUUCCACUCCACGGAAACCAACCUGCAGUACAAACAUACAUUCAUACAUUUUUACUCCUUCAACAACCGGAAUGCAGCUAGCUUAUUAAAGAAUAAUAGAUAGAUAGCUAUAUAUGUUAUUAGAGUAUGAAAGAAUUUGGUGGACCUGCGGGGCUAAUCAAGCUAUCAAGGGCACUCUUCAUGAAAACAGUCCUUGAGUACUUUUGCCAUGGGCGACCUAGAAAGGUUCUGAAAGAGCCCUGCACUGCUUUCAAAUCCCCAGCUGCAGUUAUACGACAGUUAUGGAUGAUUAUCCCUGUGUUCUCGUUAGGGUCGGUUCUUCCUUGUGCCGUCACCGUGUUCAGCUGGUUGCUCAUCGGUUUCCUCACAUAGAUGUUGCAGUUUUGAAGCACCGUCACUGCGUCACCGAAAAUGAAGUCUAUGGUUCCGUAUAUGUCACAGUCACGGUAGAAUUGACGGUUGGCGUAAACGUAUAAGGUGUCUUGGUAACCCUUAAAGCUGCACCGGUAGAACACCGACUGGUCGGCGCCGGAACGGACAGCCACCGCUUGGUGCUUUUGCGGUCCCGCUGUGUUCUCGAAGGUUAUGUCCCGAGCGAUGAACCCGUCACCAUCAACCGCUGCAACAGUAAUCGACGGUUUUUAACUUUCAAGACAAUUGUUGAGUUGGUAGAAAAAUAUUAUAUAUAGAUGCAAAGGUAAAACUCUUUUAUUUGUCUAUAUCUAUCAUGGAAGAGAUAUUUUCACCGAGUGUAAAGUGAAAAGUGAAAAUAUCUCGGCCACCACUUUUGUUGACGUACUUUUGAAAUAAAGAAAUAAUAUAUGCUUUGGGUUUAUUAUAUUGUU